This 253-nucleotide long non-coding RNA is filed under the name Hordeum vulgare. RNAcentral describes it as "long non-coding RNA (HVUL_LNC001974)". Lineage: Eukaryota; Viridiplantae; Streptophyta; Magnoliopsida; Poales; Poaceae. The record is from RNAcentral.
UGUGUUGCGCUAUAAGAACUCUAUCUGGAUUGGAGCUGAUGUGCAGUUGUAGCAUGAGAUGUUCUGGAAUCUUCAUGCUAUUUCCGUCAGAGUUCAUUCAGGAUUCCUUGUGACAUAUCUCGAUUCAGUUUUUGGAAAUUGUGAACUUUUUUUCGAAGUCGGUGAACAUUUUUAAUUCAUGAUUUUUUUCUAUUUUUCCUUUUUUGUAUUUCUUAAAAUAAUUUGUACUAAUAACUAUAUAAUAUAUGUUAUG